This is a long non-coding RNA of Oncorhynchus kisutch (coho salmon), 3289 nucleotides long. RefSeq lists it as uncharacterized. The record is from RefSeq and is a predicted model, not a curated record. The transcript has 2 exons. Lineage: Eukaryota; Metazoa; Chordata; Actinopteri; Salmoniformes; Salmonidae.
AUGAAGGUGUACUGGGCGGGGUGUCUCCAGACAGCCUGUGCUCUACAGGGUAAAAGGUGCCAGGUGAGAUGCCCAGGAUCAGUUGGCGUACUGGGCAUAGAAGGCCACCUUGACCCUCUCUAUCUGGUGACACAGCUUGAUGGCCGGACCCAGCUUCAGCUCCAUACACUCCUGGACUGUGGGCAGGGUCAGCAACAACAACGCCUGGCCAUCUAUGUCCUGCAGAGACAAUAAGGACAGAGAGACAGAGAAUAUGGACAGAGAGACAGAGACAGAGAAUCAGGACAGAGAGACAGAGGAAAGGAUGACAAUGUCAAUGAUAAUGUGAAGAGAGAGUCUGUACAUCAAACAAGAAAGUGUGUUGAAUUGGGGACGUGUGUGUCUGCAUGUAUUUCAGAGUGUGUGUGUGUACCUGCUCCUGGAAGAUGUUGGCGAGAGCAGCACAGUCGGUGGAGGUGAUGAAGGUGACCACAUCUUCUACGGACCACUCCAGAGGGUUCCUCUCCAACACCAGCCGGCACUCCGCCUCACUACACUCCACCUGGAGGGCCACAGGACACAUGGCCACAAAGAUUCAUCUCCAUACAGGACCUUUAUCGACUGGAUAUGACAGCCGGACGCCAUUUACUGACCAUAUCUGGGCCACCCGGCCACCAGGGAGCCAAAGAACCUGUCAAAUACUUAAUCACAUCUGCAUUAAUGUGGGUCUGUGUAUGUGUGUGUCUCUGCGUGUAGCAUUUGCUCUCACCUGCAUCUCCUGUCUCUUGGGUGGGUGGUACUUGUUCCCCUGGUUAUAUGACAGGGACCGAGUGCUCCGCCUCCUGCUUUCAGGACCCUCACGGCUGCCCGAAGCUAUGCCGGUAUGGGUGGCCCUGCGUAGCGCCACGGUGCGCCGCGGCCGGCUGUUAGCCACCUCCACAGAGGAUGUGUCUAUGUGGUCCUCGUGUGGCUCAGAGCUGGUGCCUUCUUCACUGCCCGACUGCAACAUAAGAUCAUCUUCAUCCUCGUCUUCAUCACUGUCCUGUAGGGAGUUAUAGGGUCCAUCUUAGUGCAGUGACAAUCAAGUCCAUUAUAUAAUAGAGAAAGACACACAAAGAGAGAGAGAAAGAGACGAGACAAGAGACACACGAAGAGAGAGAGAGAAAGAGACACGAAGAGAGAGAGAAAGAGAGACACACGGAGACACAGAGAGAGACAGAGACAGAGAAAAAGAGACAGAGAGAAAGCAAGAGAGACACAGACAGAAAGAGAGACAGAGAGAAAGAGACACAGAGAAAGCGAGAGAGACACACAGACAGAAAGAGAGACAGAGAGAAAGAGAGACGGAGAGAAAGAGAGAGACACACAAAGGGAGAGAGAAAGAGACACGAAAAGAGAAAGAGACACCCACAGAGAGAGCGAGAAAGAAAGAAAACGAAAAAGAGAGGGGGAGGGGAACACAGCCUUCACUCUUACACACAAGAGAAAGAGACACGGAGAGAGCGACAGACAGACAUAGAUGGAGAGCUCUGUCAGACCUGUGGUGACCCUGCAGGAGUGUAGUCCACUGCAGACGAGCGCCGUUUCUUCUGGACAAAGAUGGCCUUCCUCUUCUUCCUGCGUCGUGUGGGUUUGGCCUCCAGACUCUCCUCUCCUCCAAACGGCUUAGACAGCUUCUUCUUCUUACCGUAGUAAUACGCUGGGGACACAACACUCAACACAGUUCAUAUGGGCUCAAUUCUGAUGCAGGCAUAUGCCGCUCUACCUCCUCCAGAGUCUGUUGCUAGUUUUCUGAUCCCAUAGGACUCUGGUCAACAGUAGUGGGAAUAGAUUUGGAUGCAACCAGUAUGUUGAUGUUCCUCUACCUACCUCUUUGAGGACCAGAGUGCAUUUCCCCGGCCCUACAGCCUGUGGCAGCUCAGCGAUGCGCCCCUUGUUCAGGUAAGGGCCAGAGAAACAGUGGUGGUUCACGUAGAUCCUGGAACAACAGUAUCUCCCAUUGGCUGAGCCUGGGGAGGAGAGAGAGAAGCAUCAUGGGACAUCAGACAAUCAUCCAAUGACAGACAGGUAUAAGAAUGUCAGGCAGCCUAUCAAGUUCAAACUCUUGAUAGACUAUAUAGAAGUCCAAUUAGUUUAGACAGGCAGCCCAAUUGUGAUAUUUUUUCUUACUAAUUUGCCUUUUGACAGAUCAGAUCAGCCCUGAAAAAGAUCAGACAAAUGAGUGGAAAAAACAUCAGAAUUGGGCUGCCUGUGUAAAAGCAGCCCAACACUUACAUUAUGUAUGACUUGUUCUAAAACUCCACUGGCUUGUUAACGAGGCUUGUAUUCGAGGUGUGCUGUACAUAAUGUAGUGUGAUGCCACGCCUCAGUUUACACUUUGUUACUCAUACAACUGGAGCUCCGGUUGAAUAGUAAUUAGACAAAUUAUAAAUAUGCAUGAGCAAGUUACUUUUUUUUACAGAACUUAGAAGGGCAUGAGUCUCUCAUGGACACAAUACUGAUGUACCCCCCCCCCCCGCACACACACACACAAACACUAAAUAAACAGAACAUUGGCUGUGUAAAAUGUUGAGGAGUGCUAACAGAAGUGUAAUAUUGAUUAAUAUGUAGAAGCUUGUUCGAACUUAACAUUUUCUGAGACAAGCUGUGAGGUACCAACCGUGAUUGUGAAGAGCAACUGUUAGACAGACGAAUGUUGUUUGUUCAUAAAUAUGAAUCUGCUUUGAAACAGGUGUGGCGCACACACACACACACACACUCUCUCUCUCUCUCUCUCUCUCUCUCUCUACAGGGCUUUUCCAUGCUAAUCAUGAUCAUCAUUAACUCUCAUUUUCAUUAAUAGCUGUAAAUAAAUCAUCUCAUAUUUUAAUUAUGAAUCUUGUUUACCUGUGUCCAUGGCAACGGGCUCGCAGAGGUCGAGAGGGAUUGUCUCCACGGGUUGCGGCGGAGCCAACCUACAGACGGAAUAUCAAUCAACCCAUGAGCCAAUCAAUCAAUCGAGUGAACAGCAAAGUCGUCCAAUCAAAGACACAGCUAUUUAAGACCCUGUCAGAUUUAGCUGAGUGUGAUAUAUGUCCUUCCCCUAACACAACUGAACAACAAUGUAAAACAAUGAGGGCUAUUGAUGAAUGAGUCCCUUGGGUGAGAGAUAUGGUAAAAGAGGUUAGACGAGAGAGGUUGACAAAGUGUUACUGAAAGCCUCAUAUGUCGUCUCUGAACGACCACUACCCUGAUCCUUCAGACCUGCGUUUCCCAGCCGCGACUGAAACAUGUCAUGUGUCAAUAAUAAAUCUGUCCUCUGAAAAUAAAA